This 19-nucleotide small nuclear RNA is filed under the name Arabidopsis thaliana (thale cress). RNAcentral's name for it is "snRNA_06149". The record is from RNAcentral. Lineage: Eukaryota; Viridiplantae; Streptophyta; Magnoliopsida; Brassicales; Brassicaceae.
UUUAGGCUUUGAAUGGAUG